GCGUGGAUAGCUCAGUUGGGAGAGCGUAGGACUGAAGAUCCUAAGGUCAGGUGUUCGAUCCACCUUCACCGCA
Non-coding RNA from Papaver somniferum (opium poppy), 73 nucleotides. NCBI's taxonomy places the organism in Eukaryota, Viridiplantae, Streptophyta, Magnoliopsida, Ranunculales, Papaveraceae. The record is from the annotation of a RefSeq genome assembly.